CGGUGGCUGUGCCACGAUGCAGUCAUCCAACCCGCUCGUUUUCGCUACGCAGGUUUUUGCACCGCUCAUCACCCAGAUGCUAUUCCUGUCCCUGGUUCCCGCCCCUUCGCAUGCCACCUCUGCCAUCGAAUCCCUUCAUUUCAAAUCUCCCGCCGGCCUUGCUGCACAGCUGCCUGCGGUUUCAGCCUGCCCGGCGGCGCUACCUCUGCUAUUCCUCGACUGCCCCCGGACUCUCCCAUGGUCAUCGAGAGCGCAGACACGGCGCAUCAUCCGCGCUCGGCGCCCUGUGGGCUCGGUGGCUGUGCUACGAUGCAAUCAUCCAACCCACUCGUUUUCGCUACGCAGGUAGCAUUCCCAGCGAUUGGAAGGUGGGGAAGGUUGUUCCGGUCUUCAAAUCAGCUCACUUCGUCAUCCACCCUACAUCAAUCCGCCAGCACGUAUUUCCCCCCGCAUUGGUCAUCCCCUUCAAGUUGCACGACCUCGUACGCGCACUGCUACAUUCGCAUCUUCAUUCUUUCCGCGCUCAGCCCCGGACUGGAACGGCCUUCCACAUGACAUCACCGCAAUCACCUGUACAUCUAAAUUUUUGAAUUGUAUAACUACGGUAUUUAACAGCGAAUAAUUUAUGUUCAUUACGUGUUUUCUUUGUUUAUUAUAUGAUUUAUACAUGUAACCCACCCCUUAUGUAACACCCCCAACCCCGGGGGCCUUUAAGGUAAUAAAGUGAAGUGAAGUGCCAGAGUAGCGCACAUUGUCUGGGAGGUCUGUCUGUGGUGGCUGCUGUGAAUCACACCCACCUGUCACCAUGCACUGCCUAUUGCAAUCUCCAGAUUAGCGACGGAGUCACGCCACACUUCACACCGUUUGGAACAUGCCGCACGAGACAGAUCGUCCACACCACCCAAUAUAUUGCGAAAUAACACGUAUAGAGAUGCACUCAAAUUUCGCAUUAUGGAGUUCGUAAUCGCCGAUGAAUCUUCGAG
This is a long non-coding RNA of Dermacentor albipictus, 983 nucleotides long. RefSeq lists it as uncharacterized. Lineage: Eukaryota; Metazoa; Arthropoda; Arachnida; Ixodida; Ixodidae. The record is from RefSeq and is a predicted model, not a curated record.